This 688-nucleotide ribosomal RNA is filed under the name uncultured bacterium. RNAcentral describes it as "bacterial SSU rRNA". It matches the Rfam family "Bacterial small subunit ribosomal RNA", at positions 8 to 695 of the family's 1533-position model. The record is from RNAcentral.
AGAGUUUGAUCCUGGCUCAGGAUGAACGCUGGCGGCGUGCCUAACACAUGCAAGUCGAGCGGUAUACAUUGGAUUGAAACUUCGGUCGAAUGAAGAUGUAGAGAGCGGCGGACGGGUGAGUAACGCGUAGGCAACCUGCCCCAUACAGAGGGAUAGCCUCGGGAAACCGGGAUUAAAACCUCAUAACGCGGAAGAGUCACAUGGCUUUUCCGCCAAAGAUUUAUCGGUAUGGGAUGGGCCUGCGUCUGAUUAGCUAGUUGGUGGGGUAACGGCCUACCAAGGCAACGAUCAGUAGCCGACCUGAGAGGGUAAUCGGCCACAUUGGAACUGAGACACGGUCCAAACUCCUACGGGAGGCAGCAGUGGGGAAUAUUGCACAAUGGGCGAAAGCCUGAUGCAGCAACGCCGCGUGAGCGAUGAAGGCCUUUGGGUCGUAAAGCUCUGUCCUUGGGGAAGAAAAAAAUGACGGUACCCUUGGAGGAAGCCCCGGCUAACUACGUGCCAGCAGCCGCGGUAAUACGUAGGGGGCAAGCGUUAUCCGGAAUUAUUGGGCGUAAAGAGUGCGUAGGUGGUUUUGUAAGCGCGGGGUGAAAGGCAAUGGCUCAACCAUUGUAAGCCCUGCGAACUGUGAGACUUGAGUGCAGGAGAGGAAAGCGGAAUUCCUAGUGUAGCGGUGAAAUGCGUAGAU